UACGGAGGAUGCGAGCGUUAUCCGGAUUUAUUGGGUUUAAAGGGUGCGUAGGCGGGCUUUUAAGUCAGCGGUAAAAAUUCGGGGCUCAACCCCGUCCGGCCGUUGAAACUGGGGGUCUUGAGUGGGCGAGAAGAAGGCGGAAUGCGUGGUGUAGCGGUGAAAUGCAUAGAUAUCACGCAGAACCCCGAUUGCGAAGGCAGCCUUCCGGCGCCCUACUGACGCUGAGGCACGAAAGUGAGGGGAUCGAACAGG
This 252-nucleotide ribosomal RNA is filed under the name uncultured bacterium. RNAcentral's name for it is "partial 16S ribosomal RNA". It matches the Rfam family "Bacterial small subunit ribosomal RNA", at positions 524 to 776 of the family's 1533-position model. The record is from RNAcentral.